AAUAUUGCACAAUGGGCGCAAGCCUGAUGCAGCCAUGCCGCGUGUAUGAAGAAGGCCUUCGGGUUGUAAAGUACUUUCAGCAGUGAGGAAGGUGGGUAUGUUAAUAGCAUAUUCAUUUGACGUUAGCUGCAGAAGAAGCACCGGCUAACUCCGUGCCAGCAGCCGCGGUAAUACGGAGGGUGCGAGCGUUAAUCGGAAUUACUGGGCGUAAAGCGCAUGCAGGUGGUUUGUUAAGUCAGAUGUGAAAGCCCGGGGCUCAACCUCGGAAUUGCAUUUGAAACUGGCAAACUAGAGUACUGUAGAGGGGGUAGAAUUUCAGGUGUAGCGGUGAAAUGCGUAGAGAUCUGAAGGAAUACCGGUGGCGAAGUCGGCCCCCUGGACAGAUACUGACACUCAGAUGCGAAAGCGUGGGGAGCAAACAGGAUUAGAUACCCUGGUAG
Molecule: ribosomal RNA, 440 nt
Filed under: uncultured bacterium
Lineage: Bacteria
Description: bacterial SSU rRNA
Rfam family: Bacterial small subunit ribosomal RNA
Source: RNAcentral